GCUGGGCACAGUGGCGCAUGCCUGUAAUUCCAGUGGCUCAGGAGGCUGAGACAGGAGGAUGGCGUGUUCAAAGCCAGCCUCAGCAAUGGCAAGACACUAAGCAACUCAGUGAGACCCUGUCUCUA
RNAcentral lists this small RNA (125 nucleotides) under Marmota monax (woodchuck). Lineage: Eukaryota; Metazoa; Chordata; Mammalia; Rodentia; Sciuridae. The record is from RNAcentral.